GUCAAAACAAAACGUAAUGAUCGGGUCGGUCAAAGGGAUCAACGGUGGACAAGUCACCAAAUCGGUGUCCUGCCACCAGAGCCUGUUCCCUUAUCUACUCUAUUACUGCCACUUCGUUCCCAAGGUUCGGGUCUAUGAAGCGGACCUCCUGGACCCGAAAACCAAAGCCAACAUUAACCAUGGUGUUGCCAUCUGUCACUUGGACACCUCCGAUUGGAGCGCAGGUCAUGGUGCAUUCGUAGCAUUGGGUUCGGGCCCUGGCCGGAUUGAAGUUUGUCACUGGAUCUUCGAGAAUGAUAUGACCUGGACCAUUGUAGACUGAUUCAUGACCCACCUUGUCAGCUCAGUUCGAACCACUUGGUCAACCAAGCUGGCGCGACCCCGACAUCUGCUUGUUCGUUUCCUUCAUAACGAGUCAUGGUGAAAUAUUUCAAGGCAUUUGCUUCAUCUAUGUAAGGAUGGUAAUUUAUCUCAGUUGUGCGAGAGCUAAGGAAGGAUUAAAAUGUUGAAAAUUAUAAAAAUAUGGGUAGUUAAAAUUUAGAUAAAUAUAGAAAAAUGUUGGACAGAAAAUUGGUUAAAAAAUACCAGUUUAAAAGAAAUUGAUGGUAAAAUAAGUAAUAAUUUAUGAAAACUCAAAAAAAUAAAAAAUAAAUAAUAAUAUAUAUUUUAAAAUUGUUUUAUUAGAGAAAAUUAUAUAUAUAUGGAUAAAAUUUAUAAUAUUAAUUUGUAAAAGUUGAAAAUAUAUUUAUUAAACACAUUUAAUAUUAAAAUUAUUAUCUAAUUAGUAUAGAUGUAUUUAAGUCUAUAAAAGAAUGAUAAGUGUGCAUAUAUAAUAUUUAAUUAUUAUUUAAAAAUAUAUAAAAAAAAUAAAUUAAGAAGAUUAUUAUGAUGAUUUUCAGAUCCGUUGAAUGAAAUUUUAAAGUACCAUAGUUAAAAGUAAUUCAUUUAAUUUUUUUUUUAAUUUAAUAUUAAUUUCAUGUCUUGGGUUCAGAUGAUGAAGAUUUUAUUAAUAUGAUACUUCAUUCGUACGUGAAAGCAAGAGAAAAGUGACAAAAUCAGGAUAAAAUCCUAAAAUAUUAAAGAAAUAUCAUGAAAUCGAGGAGAAAUAUCAAGAGACUUUAGAGAAAUACUAGGAAUUUUCAUAGAAAUAUCAAAAAAUGUAGGAAAAAAAUAGAGAAAUACUAGUAAAUAACGACAAUAUUGGUUGAUUUUUGGCAAGCCAAGAUUUCCAUCCCUUUUUGGUAUCACGACCGGUCGAUGCACUGAAAUUUGAAGAUAUUUCAUUGAAAUAAUGUUGAUAUUUUCACCCAAAUUUCGCAACGUUUUAAUCUUUGAACCUAACAAAUGCUUUGAUGGCUUCCGAAAGGUGGAAGGUAAUGAAUGAAUGGCUUUCAGUAAUCAGUAUUAGAACAAUGGUGCUUCGCUGGGGCUUCAUUUCCUAAUAAUGGCCUAGAAAUCUAUGAAAGAUGCAAAAUUGAUGUGAGGUCCACGUGAUGUACAUGGACAAAAUUGCUCUUUUAUUAUUUAAGCAUGUGAUAGUUGUGGAAAUGGGCCAAAGAAUUCUCUCAUUACAUGGAUGCAUAUGUGAUGGAUAACAUGACAAAUGCAAUAUUGCAUAAAACAAACAGGGUCAAGCCCUAGUUUUAGAAAUGAAGCUCUUGUACUCAAAACUAGGAGAAUAACGAAGACCUCUCUAACUAAGGUUAUGGCAAAGACCUCCACGAUCAGGGCAAUGGCAAAUACAUAGAUAGAAGGGAGGUUGCACAAUUGCAAAACCUUGGUGAAGGGAGGGAAAUGAGGGUGAAGUCAUGAUGGUGAAAUGACCACAAUCCAAGCCUUGGUAAGUUAUAUAUUAAUGUCCCUCCCAAUCUUAAAGUCUUGAAAUUGAUUUGAUAGGUUCUAUCAUCAGUUUGGCUUGGAAACAAACCAAGAAUCUAAAGCCUAUGAAGUAAAAGAAAAUGAGUGAUGUUAGAGAAAAUGUUAUAAAUUGAAUAGAUUUAUGUUAUUGAAAUUUCUAGAGAGUAGAUAAUUAUACAACUAUUUUGAUAAGCCGAAUACAAUAUUAAGCAAUGGAAUGAAAAUAUUAGUUUGAAAUCUUCAAAUUGAUAACAAAUGUGACAGUGGGAAUCAAGCAAGGAAAAAAAAUAUUGGGAUAUAUUAGCGAUAUAUCGGUGAUAUAUCGUGUAUCAGAGAAGACAAAUAUGAUAUAUAGAUAAGAUAUAUCGUCUGACGAAAAUAUUGGUAAAUAUCGGUGAUACAAGUAAAAUAUCGACCAUAAAUAAGAAAAAAUCGUUGAAAUUUUGGAGAUAUAUUGGAUAUAUCGAAGAUAUAUCGGUGAAAAAUCGAUAAAAAAUUAAAUUAUUAUAAAUAAGUUAAUUUUAAUUAUGCUUUAAUUUAUUUUGUAUGCUAAUUAAAUAUAAAAUCAUAAAUAAAAUUAUCAAUAUUUUUAAAUAAAAAUAUUUUGUAUCAAAAUGUACCAAUAUUUUAAAAUAAAAAUCAUAAAUAUAUUUAAAUAGCAUAAUUAGUAAAUUUGCAAUAAUUUAGUUUUAAAUUAAUUAUUUUAUUUUAUUUUGAUAUUCAAGUGUAAUAAUAGUAUAUUGAGAAUAAAUUAACUUAAUACAUUUUUAAAUUAGUAUAACAUUGAAUUUAAAUUAGUACAUUUUUAUAAUUAAUUAAUGUAUUUUUUAUAGAGGUAAGUAAAUUAACUUAAUAUAGUAAUAUAUUUAAAUCAUAUAAUUAGUAUAUUUAUAAUAAUUUAAUUUCAUAAUGAGUUUACACUUACAAAAUUCACAUUUCUUAUCAGUCGAUACUAUAUAAUUAAAUUUAAUAUUGCAAAUCAUAUCAUACAUAUAUUAAUUUUUUCAACAAAACAAUUUUAAAAUGUCUAUUAUACUUCUAAUUUCAUUUUUAAGAGUUCUUUACUUACAUUUUCAUAAGUUUUGAUGAAUUUUUUGUGUAUCGAUAUUUUGUGUCAAAAUAUCUACCGAUAUAUCUCUGAUAUAUCCGAUAUAUUUGUAAAAUCUAAGUAUCGAUAUAUCCAUGAUUACCGAUAUUUUCAUUCUUGAAAACAAGCUCAUGCAAAAUUUUGAUAUAGCUCUAGUGUUUUGCAUAAUAACCUUUUGAGGUUCAACACUCGAUGUGAGAAUAAACCAAUAUCAAAGUACCUUAUUGAUUUGUAGCCUUAUUCUAACCUAGUUGUAAAAUCUAAUAGGCUUAAUUCUUCUUAACUUUGAUAUAGUUCCCCAUAUAUGCCCCCAUUUUUAUUAAAGCUUUAGCAACUCCCAAGCCAUAAGGCUUUAGGGCACUAGGAUUAAUUAGUGAUUUUCUUCGGAUUCAUACCCUAGUUUCUGGUCAAUUAUAGGUUUUUCCACAUAUGCUUCAAUCUCAAGACACCUACAUUUUGAUGUGAACCUCAACUCUUACCUAGGAGUAAAGGGUACUAAAUUACUCAAUAGGGACUCUUGCCAAAGGCAAACCCAACAACAACUUAAGGAUAAUAAACCCAAAAUUUAUCAUACAAGAACUUAGACCCUUGAUGCCUUCAACCUACCUCACUCGUCUAUGUGCACCAUGUGUUAUAAAGGGUGAACAAGAAAUAUCCACUUGGAUUAUUAAUGGUUUAGGUUUUAAGUUGAACCAUGUUUGUUACUAGGCUACUGCCUAAUCAAGUAAUUUGACCCUUUGUAUUGAUGUAACCUAGUUUCAACUUACUCAGCCUCCAAAAUUUUGAUAAGAAAGACUCUCAAAAUUGAAUUUAGGGUAAGUGCAAGUAUGAGGUACAAGUAUGCACAAGGGUUCCUGUUUUUUUUUUUUUUGGUAAAUUUUUCAUUCUAACCCAUCCUUUACCACCCAUAUAUCAUCACAUCCUAUUCAUAUAAUAUUCAAUAACUACUCACCCCCUGACCUAACCUAAACAUUGUCCUUAAUGUUUUCAAGUAAUAGAGAAUAAAGGUAUGAAACAAUUCAACAAUGAGGAAAAAGAAGGGGGAGAUGGAAGGAUAUCCUCCCAUAGCACUGGUGAAAGUAGAAGGAUGACUUAGAGAAUUAUUUAAAAGCUAUAAAGCGAAAUAAAUAUAAAAUAAGACAAAUAAAAUAAAGAUAGGUAGGCAUUAUUUUAUUUUAUUUUAUUGUUUAAAAAUGGAUCCAAAAUAGGUGCGAAAGGUUAACUUGUUUCUUGUUAAAUAUGAGUUUGAUGGUCCCAUAACUCCAUAACAUCAAUGGGUUGUUUAAUUUUUGCACUGAAAUUAAGAGAAUAAACACGUUGAGAAUAUUCCCCUUUCAUUUAUUUUUCAGGAACUUCUUUUUUGGAACCAUGAAGAUGAUCAUAUGUAAACAGUAUUAUAUGUUAUGGAAAAAAGGAAAAAGUCGAAGUGAUAUGCUAAUUCUGAUGGUGGUGGAGGUGGUGAGAACUGAGAAGAUGGCUGUGAAGGUGGUAGUGGUGGUGGUGAAAGUCCAAGCCUCCGCCAUUUUCCAAAGGGUAAGCCAUCUGAUCAGACCAUUUUUCAGAUGGGCUUUUUGUCAACUCGAGCAAGGAGUCCCUGACAUGGUCAGCUUGAACCAUCUCACUGUCCCUCUUCUGCUACCAAGAUGAGAAAAUCAACAGAUACACAUGAAAAUAAUUUAUCAAACAGUUGAUGAGAAGUGUUCAAGGGUGGCCUUACCUCUACUUUGAACACAUUAGAAACCAGGCCUUUGCAGCUUGUUACAUUUGCAUUUGUCACUUCCAAGCCUAGAGAGCUCAGAGCCUCCAUCAGCCUCGCAAACCCGCCAGCCUUGUGCUCACAAAACACCUUAACGAAGAACUCAUUGCCUUCUAUCUGAGCCACUUCCACUUGGGGCUGCAGCAUAGUUUCAACUUUCACUUCCAAUUGAACACACAGAAAAGAGAAUCACAGAAUGGAAACAAUAAAUAUCAUCAAGUACCUCCAUCUGCUGUGCUUUGUCAUUGUUGAUUUGAUCAGUUUCAUGGUUUUGCUUAGGGAGCCUGCAGGCACUGCCAUUGCCUGCUUCUCCCAUAUGAAUCCCGUUUUGAGCUUCUUCAUUUUCAGUUUUAGACCCAAUGUUAACUCCUGAUCCAUCAUUGUUCAGAAUUUCAGAUUGGACAUUGUUAUGGUUGCUGUUGAUGCCUGCAUUAAUCUUCCCCCCUUCAUCGUCUGAAUGCUCUUCCAGCUCAUCUUGAAGAUCCUUUGCUUGUUUCUGCAACUCCUUCACAAAUUCUAUUGCAUCACCCAGAAUUGAAGCUCUAUCCAACUAGGAAUCAAAAAUACAUCAGAUAUCAGUAAAAAGUACUAAUCAUAGUGUGAAUUAAUCUUGAAGAAUCUUGACCAGGCCAAAGAAGAAUGACAGCCACCUUAGAUAUUUUGGGAACCAAAGCACGAAGCGCAUAGAGUCUAUCAUUAAGCUUCUUCCUUCGCCUCCUCUCAGCGACCAAGUUUUUUGAUUGAGUCCCUUUUCCAGUCCUCCUUCGGUACUUCAAAUCAUCAUCAUCAUCAAUCUGAUCACUGCAGUCUGAUACUGAAUCAGCUUGGUUUGCCAUUUGUUUAGUACUCGAAUCCUUAUCAUCACCCAGCUGCUCCUUGUUUGCUAGAGGCUCCAUCAUUUCUCUAUGCAUGUUUUUGGAAUUGUUAGUACACACCAUCAUGGAUUUCUGCAUUGCCUCCAUCUCCUGAAAUCCACAAUCUGAGGACAUAAAGGGGUUAAUCACCUUCUCUGAAAGAAAUGAGCCAUCGGAUCCUUCAAAGAAGAUAUCAUUCUUGACGCUACUCUCAGAGGUGUAACUGAAUUGCUGCAAGAAGUUCAUGGGAGAGCUGCAUAGGCGGAUUCGUUCAACUGAGAUGUCAAAUGGCAGAUCAUUCAAGUUCUCCAAUGCUGUUACUGGGGAAAUUGUUGCCUGGAAAUGAUUGUUGGGAUCCUUUUCCUCAUCUGCAUUGCCUGCAUUGGCAUUAACUGAGAAGAUUGUAUCAAUAUUGCUUGAAUUCAUCAUGGCUUCCUGCUCCAUCAAGAUUAUGUUGCACUGUGUUGUGACGAAGUUUACUACGUGUUGAUCCUCAGCUACCUAUUUCAAUAAAUAAAUGAAGUUACCAAUUUCAUUUUCAUCAUGAAAAGAUCAUUUUUCUUCAAAUCAACCUGAAAAUACUAUGUUAAGAACUGAUCAGGCACAAUUUGAUGCAGCUAAUUAAUAUUUUCAACAUUAUACGAAACAUUAAUAGUACUUGAUUAGCAACAAACAGUUCAAUUAGUCCUCCCAGCACUGGAAUCAAGAGCCUGGUCCCAACUGUUUCCUGCAAAAACCCAAGUGGAAAAUCAUUAUCUCGAUUGGGGAUAUGGCCUAGUUUAAAUAGGAAUUUGGAAUACUACUCACUUCGAGAACGCUUGAAUCUGAACUAUUACAGAAGUUGAGCCAUCUGGGUUGGUUUGAAAUCAAGGUCUGUCCAUGAAUGCUGCUUAUAAGCAUCUAUGUCAGGUGAAGUUUUAACUGUAUGUCAUUUAAGGCGAAAAGGCUGAAAAAAAGGGAGAUACCCAGAAUCUAGGGAAAUAGAAGAAGGCAAUUGGGCAAGAAGAUCACAAGAUUUGGUUCUUGGAUGCUGCAACAUGGCAUCCCUGCAAGGAAGUACACUGGAAACAGGAAAAAGAAUCUCCUCUUCACCAUUUUGAGUACUGUUUUCGCUUCCAGCACAGCAACAAUCCAUCCAGUCCAGAAACCUAAAACAAAACCGAAUUAUGAAUCAUGAGCUGAUCACAAAUAGCACAAGACAUAGAUUGAAGCUUUUCACUCAACCUUUGAUCUUCACUUAGUUUCCAAAGAACACAGUAGUCCCAGCUUUUCAAUCCCACAAGAGGCCUCAGCCUCUCCUUGAGGCUCUGCACCAUGUUGACCAUUUCUCCUGUAAUUAACAUCAUGCCCACUUCAAAAAACCUGCAUUAAACACAAUUCCAUGACAAACUAUCCAUUGCCAAAAAGUUUAAGCUACCAGAUAACUAGACAAAAAUGAAUAUUAAGCUUGAAUAAUCCUUGGGACUAAGAAAAAACAAAAGAAGAAAGCAAUGAAAAGGAGAAGAAACAAAAGCGAAUAUCCAUACAAACUUGGAUUACUUGAUAGCAAUAGGUAACUGCAACAUCAUCCAAGAGACAGCACCCACUUCAUCCAAGAAAACCCCAUCUCAGCAAAUGGGCUGAGAGAGGUAAAAGCAAAAGCUCAAAUUCUUCGUUAGUCUAAAAUCUUUGGUUUUAUAUUUGGGGUUUUGGCUUUUACUUUGGUAGGUGAAGUGUAGUGCAUGCAUGAGAGAGAGGGUGAGAGUUUUGUAAAGAAGAUAAGAAAAAACGGAAUAUAAAAAGGAUAUAUGAGAAGUAAUGAUGGAAGGGCGUAUCGUGUGAGCUAAGAAGGCGUACAAAAGCCUAACUAAUUCGGUUAUAUAUUCUUUCGUCUCUCAACUACUCUCCUACUUUGAAUCAUAUUGAAAACUACUCUAAAAGAAUCUUCUUCAAUUGGAUAUGUCUUCCAAUGUAAAUAAGCAAAAUAUUCUAAAUUAUCAAAGUUCUAAGAUAAUUGUAGUAUCACGUAUUUAUAUUUUGGAAAAAAAAAAAAACGAAGUUACCAAAGAGGUACUUAUUCAAUUCCUCGUAUUCAUAAUUGAAAAUGCACAAAAAGAAAAAAAAUCUAACUCGUUUGGAUGAAGCUAUAAAUAAUAUGAUUAAAGUAUAAAAAAUAAGACUAAAACAUAAAUGAAAUGAAAUCAAGUUACAAAGCAGUUAGUAUAAAGUAAUUAGGCCUAAAUGCAUACGUAAUAUAACUUAAUUAGUCACACUUUUCUGAAGGUACCUCUCAAGCAAUCUAAUCAAAUCUUUAUAUCUUUAGUACCUUGAUUGUGUUAUCAUAUUUUCACUUACACUAGAGGUGUAAUUUGAUUGAAUUAACCUAACUCAACAUGAAGUUUGGAUGAAUUUGAGCAAUCAUCUUUUAAUACUCGAGUUGAGUUUGGGUUAAGUUUUUUUAACCCGAACUGAAGUUGGAUUUGGAUCAAAAUUUAAACAACCUAAGCCUAACCUGAAUUUGAUUUAAUAUUUUUAUAAUAUUACAAAAAGCUUUUUCACUAGUAGCCAUAUUCAAAUCCAUCAAAGCGUUCCUAUCUAUUGUGGUGCAUCUCAUUUAUGAGAUACAACAAUUAGAUAUCGAGAUAACAUUCUUGAAAGGUCAUCUUAAUGUUAGUAUCUAUAUGAUGCAACCAGAUAUUUUCAUAAUAAAGGGUUUUGUUUGUACAAGAAGACAUAGUGAAAGCAUAGUGGUGCUUUAAGAUCUUGUAGGUAGAUGACAAUCUACUCAUUGGGAAUAAUAUAGAGACAUUGUCACUAGUCAAAAUUUGUUGUCUACUUAGUUCUAUAUGAAAAUCUAGUAGGCACAAUAAAUUCUUGGGAUUAAGGUCCUUAUAGAUGCAAGAUUAUGAAAAUUUUGUUAUGCUAUAUCAUCUACAUUAACAAGCAUUUGUUCAAGUGCAUGAUGCAAGAUAAAAAGGGUUGCUCCAUUUUGGUUUAGAGUUAUCUUUCUCAGAUUAAUUAGUAUCAUUGGACAUUUAAGGAGAUAAUACCUUAUUGGCACAAUUUAUGAGAGUUGAAUUAACUCUUAGUUCAUUUAUAUGCAUAUAAGGAUGUUUUGAUAAUUACAAAAGAUUGUAUAGGGAUUAGUAAACAAUAUUUUUGAAUUGAGCUAAUUAAUUAAUUAGAAGAUCAUGUAGAGUUAAUUAAUCAAUUAAAAUCUUAUUUGGGCUAGAUUAAGUGAUCUAAGCCUAUGAUGGACUCAAGUCACUUAAACCCAGUUAGGAACCCUAUAAAAUACCCCCUUAAGGCUAAUGGUUUCUAUACUUUAGUCUUCCAUCAUCUAAUGAGAGAAAAUCCUAGCCUCCACCCUCCCAAACCUCUCAUCGUUUGUGUGCUAAAGAAAAAAGGAGAGCCAUCGGGUAGGAGAUCUUAGGUUCACAAAACUUCCAAUGGCUAUAAGAUUGAUCUUCAUCGAAAGGAAUUGAUUUGGGAAUAUCCAAAUUAGAGGUAUUGUUUUCUAAAGCACUAUUAUAUAUCUUUUUAAUGUUAAAAAUGGUCUUUAAUUUUUGCUUUUGUUGCAUAAUAUCUAAAUGCCUCAGGUAGUUUUUAUGCGCCUAACUUGAUCAUAGGAUAAAAAAUAGAGUGAUUCGGGAUUCCUUUCAAUCUUAAAGACACGUGAUCAGGAAAUUUAUGAUCGUUAUAAUUCCUUAACUGGAAUUUGACAUAUGCUCUUAGAGAGUUAAAGUAUGUCAAGUGAUUAUAUUAUAGAAGGAUUUGAGACUCAAAGAUUUGAGAGGUUGAUAGCAUCUACCUCAUUAGAUUACAAACACCAAUUCAUAGGAACUCUGCAUGCAAUGAAUAGUAGGUCAUAAACACAAGUUUACAUCUCAUUUUAAUAUCAUAAGAUAUUGGAGUACAAUUGGCUCUCUAUAAUAGGAUGUUGAUUCAACUUCAGAAUUAGAUUUUGAGUUAGUAUUUUCUUAUAGGUCUCAAUAGUACUUCAUGCUCAUAUUCCUUGGUGGUACAUUUAUCGAGGGAUAUUUAGGUUCCUUAUUCAUAUAUAUAUAUAUAUAUAUAUAUAUGCAUAAAGAUGUUUUCGUAAAAACACAAGGUUGCUUUAGAGUCUAUGAAUGGUCUUUUUUUUAUUAUGCUAAUUAAUUAAUUAAGACCAAAUGGGAUAGAUUAAGUGACCUAAACCAUAGAUGAGUGUGGACCCGUAUUUUUCAUCUGUGUUCCUAGUUAAUGGUGAGACUUGCUUUUUAUUAGUGAAAAUUUGAUUUUUGAAAAAGUUAGUCUCCACUUAUUUUAGUUUAUUUUUAAAAAGAAAAUAAAGUAAGAAAGAAAACUUUGUGUAAUUCCUUAUUUGAAAAAAUGACAAGUUUGUAAACCAAAAAUGGAUUUAGGAAUUAAGUUGCCUAUUGGGAAAGUAUGGUAAUAAGUUAUAGCAGCCCUUUAACCUUGUAUAUCUAUGGUCUCUACUAGACAAAUGAAGAAAAUUAUGACAAUUGAUUAAUUAAACAUGAAUAUUGAAAAAAAAAACACAAUACAAGCAAACAUACAACAUGACAUUAGCUAAAAAAUAAAUUACAAGAAUAUAAAAAACUGAUAUAAGCUAAAAGCACAAAAUGAUUUAUUAGAAAAUAUGUUUAUUAUUCCAAAUGUCAUAACACAAUUUUAAAGAAAAUUCAAUUGUUUAUUUACAAAUAAAGUUCAGUUUAUUAACAAAUGAUUUGAUUUAUUUAUUCAAAUUGAAAGAGGUGUUUUUUUAUUUAUUUAUUUAUUUAUUUAUUAGAAGAGUUUAUUGAAUAAAAUUUCAUUUAAAGAGAAAAGUUUGAAUUUGAUUUUAUUUAUAAAAAAAAUGAUUUUUAUUUAUUUUUACUAGAAAAAGAAUGAAUUUUUAUGAUUCUAUUUUCAAGGAAUUCAAUUCAAUUUUUGUUUAAAGACUUUUUUUUUUUACAAAUAAUUAAAAGAAAGUGAUUUUUACAAAAUCAUUUAUAGAAAGAAAAUUCUAAUUUGAUUUUAUUUACAAAGAAAUUGAUUUUUAUUAGUGAUUUUAAAAAGCAUCAAUUUGAUUCUUAUUUUGGGAAAAAAAUUAUGAGGAAAAAGGUUUUAACCAAUUUAUUAAAAAAGAGAAAUUUCAAUUCAAAUUUUAUUUAAGAACAAGUGGCUUUCCUACAAAGUAUUAAAAAAAACUUAACAAAUUUAUUAAAAAGUAAUCUUUUUCUAAAUUUAUUUAGAAAAAGAAUUUCACAAAUUUAUUUAUUUUUCUUUAUUUACAACAAGAGAUUCCAUUAAGAAAUAUUUUUUCUUUUUACAAAUCCUAUUUACAAAAAUGAUUUCACAAUCCAAUUUUUAUUAAAGAUUUUUUUAAAUACAACUUUCAUUUCCAAUCCAAUUUUUGUUUCAGAAAAGAUUUUAUUUCAACUUUUAUUUUCAAUCAAAUUUUUAUUUUAAUAUUUUUUUACCAAUUUACUCAAAAAGGAAUUUUACAAAUUUAUUUCAAGUCCAAUUUUAUUAAGAAAGAAAUUUUGAAUUUUAUCUAUAAAAAAAUUGUUUACCAAUUUAAUAAAAAAUGUAUUUCAAUUUAAUUUUUAUUCAAAAUGUUUUUACAAAUUUUAUUUCUGAAAUUAUUUACAACUCAAAUUUUUUAUUUAAAAAGAGAUUUUUAUUUGAAAAGAAAGAUCUUGACAUUUUUACAAUUUUAUUGAAAGAAACUUUGUAGUUUUUUGUUUUUUAAAGCAUUUCUAGUUUCUAUUUGGAAAAUGAUUUUACAAAUUUAUUUUCAUAAAGUGAUUUUAUAGUUUUUAUUUGGAAAAAGUGAUUUUACAAAUCUUAUUUGAAGAAGUGACUUUGCAAUUUUAUACAAAAACUAUAAGAAUUUUGUAGAAAAGUCACUUAAUUAAAAAGAAAAAGAUUUGAAGUCUUUUUUUACUUUAAAAAAAAUUAGAUUUAUAAAUUUGAUAUUUGAAAAUACAAUGGAAUGAAAUGGAAAGAAACUUCACAAUAAACAUAUGGGAGAAUAUGAAUAAAUUAGAUAAAAUAAUAAAAAGACUAAAGAUAAACAUCAAAACUAAAAUAUAACAAACAUAUAUAUGAGAAAAAAAAAAGUACUUAAAAAAAAUAUACUGUAAACAAAUAUUCCUAAAGAUAAAUAAAAAGAAAUAAAUAAACAAGUAAGGGAAUAUACCCAAUAUUAUGCAGUGAAAGAACAAUAAAACAAAAAAAAAAUAGAGAGUAGUACUCUCCAAGCCAUCCCCAUUGCUUAAACCCUUAGGGUUCUUCACUUCAUAUAACCUCCCAUGGGAAAAUCCAACCCUCCAUGUGUUUAGCAUUCAGGCUUAGCCAAAGAAAUCUAAGAAAUAGGCUCAUGCAUAGAAAAUAAGAAUAGCAUAAAUAAAUAAAUAAGUCUGACACUAAUAACAAACUAUCAUCAAAUUAGUUCAAUAAAUUUCAUCAAUAAAAAUAGGUUCAAAUGAAUAAAUGAAACUUAAUGAAAAUAUCCAACAUACCAUAGUCCCAAAUCCAAAAUUCCAAUUAAUAACCAAUACAACGUAUCUACAAUCCUAAGUUCAAUAUUCAUAAAUAAUGCACUAUGAAGAUCAAGAAAUAAUAAUAAAUAAAAUAAAUAAAAAUAAGGAAAUGAGGACUUAUCUUGAAACCCAAAUAAAGAAAAAAUGGUGGUAGUGGACUUGAAAAGGGUGGUGUCAUGUGAUGAUAGUCAUGGAAGCAUGUGGUGUGGUUAACGGAUAAGAGAAUGAGAAACAAAGAAAACAGGUGUAGAAGAAAUAGGAAAUGAAAGAGAGAAAGAUAGAGAAACAGAGAAAAAAAAAAGAUGAGAAGGGAAGAGAAGUGUCAUCGAUCAAAGAGGCUCGUCGGUGGUGAUUAGUAGCCGAGAUAGUCACUGGUAGGAAGGCACAGUGAAGGUAGGGUGGUGAAGAAUGGUAGCAAUACAAAAUGGGAAAGAAAAGAAAUAAGAGAGAGAAAGAGAAUACAUAGUGAAAUGAGAAAGAGUGAGAUGAGAUGAAAAAGAGGACUGUUGGUCAACAUCGUAGAACUGCUAGUGAUGCUACCAACAUCAAAGUAGUGGCUGGCCAUGGAGGUGGUGGUGGGUGUGGAGAAAGAAAAAGGAAAAGAAAUGAAAGAAGAGAAAGGAAAAGGAAAAAGGAGGAGAAAUCCCAAUGGGAGUAGGCAACUGAAGAUGGAAAGAAUGUGUGGUCUUUAGGGUUUUAGAUGAAUGAAUGGUGUAAAUGAAGGGGAAAAUGAAUGAUCAAGAUGGGUUCUUCUAAAAUGGGUAUAAAAUUUGGUAGUCUACAAUGGACUCAAGUCACUUAAACCCACAAGGAAACCUAUAUAAACCUCUUUUAAGGUUUUAAGGCUUGAGACACUCUUGACAUUCAGUUUUUCAAAGAGGAACCCUAGUCUCCACCCCUUCAAAAGGGGAUUCCACCUUCUUACAUGUUAAGAUUCAGGAAAAAAAUAUUAUUGAGUUGAAAGCUUAUUGGCUUUUUACACCCGUUACACUUCUUUGUAGAUUGGAAACAAUUUAGGAACAUUCAUAUCAUAAUUAUUGCAUCUAAACUCCAAAACUAAAGUUUUUAAUAUUAACGUUUACCACUCUAUAUUGAUUUGGCUCAAGGUAUAUAUAACAAUGAUAAAACCUUACAUAAAUAGAAUUUAAGAAUCACUAGGAAUCCAUGAUAUCAAAGAAUAGACAAUUGUAUCAUCCUCCAAGCUAAAAUUAGAGGGCAUUUACUUUUCAUACCAAUUCCUUAGCCCCUACUUUAUUUCAUUAUUGAGUUUAACUAUUCCCAUUAAAUCCUACUUUAGCUUUUCAUAUUUCAUAUCCCAAGAAAGCCUUUUAACCUCUCAUAGGUGUGUUGUCACCUACACAAUCCAUUAAAGAAAGAUAAAGAGUUAUUCUUGAAAAUUAAAGAAUUCAAAAGCAAUAUAUUGAUUGAUAAUAAUUGAGAAAGAAAUACCAAGCAAGAUCCUUUUCUAUCUUAUUCUUUAAAAAAAAAAAAAAAAACUCUAAACUCUUCAAAAAAAAAAAAACUAAAAAUUUGAGUUUUUAUAGUUUGGGUAAGAACCUUACAUGUGGCAUGUUCCUAUUGGUCACUUAUUUUCCAAAAAGUGCUUAAAAAUAACUAAAAACUAAUAAAAAUCUAACUUUAGAAUGUCUGGGCCCCAUUUUGGAUUGGAGAAGUGUCAAAAUGUUUCAUAUUGAGAAUUCACAAGUAAUGUGGAAUUGGAGUAACUAAAGUCGAAAUCAAUUUUAACAUGUAUUUCAACUUGGUAAGUUAGGAAUUUUGACAUGGUAAUGUGCAUUUCAACCUCUAUUUUGAUAUGAACUUCUCAUGUCAAAAUUUUCAUUCCAACAAAAACAUCGUCAAAAUGGCUAUCCAAUUUUAACAUGAGGUUCUGUUUCUGUAUUGCUUAUUCAAGUGGCUAUAACUUCUUCAUUUUAUCUCCAAUUCAUGCACUAUUUGAGGCAUUAGAUUUUUGAAUUCUCAAGCUUCAAAUUGAUAUGUGUCCUGCUUGAAAUGAUCUUAAUGAAUCCUUCAAGAUUCACGUCAAAGUGAAAGUAUAUGCAACUAUGAGGCGAUCUUAAACUCUAAUUCCUAUAUUAAACUUCAAGUUUUAUAGCCUUUAGCUUUUCUUUUUGUGUCUCAUUAACCUUUAUAAACUUGUUUCUCAUAUCUCAUCCUUUCUCCAUUUUUAGUUGUCAAAGCUCUCAUUAUGUUUCUAUUAGGAUUGAGCCUUAGAAAGCAUGACAUAAUAUAUGAUUACUACUCAAAAAGUGCUAUUUCAUAGCUUGUAAUGAACUCUUUUGAGUAUUAGUUAACACCUUUUAACCCAAUUAACAUAUUAAGGACCCUUGCAAUCAAUUCUAAUCAAAUUGUGUUAAGUUUUGGUGUUUUGAUAGCUUUUUUAUCACCAAAGCAAUCAGAGAUUGAGGAGAGUUCUUUGGAAUGCAAGAAGUAAAAGAUGUUCGGACACACCAUCGGAUGGCGGCGGAAGUCAAUGAUCCGGACAACAUAUCCGGAUAGGAUAUGCUAUCGUCCGGGUGUGAUGUUCACGAGUGUCGUGUGCCUCUUCCUGAGGGAGUCCGGAUAGGGGGAGCGCGCCACAUGUCCUCUUGGGGAAUCCGGAUGGAGUUGAUCCGGAUAGCCUUGCGCGCUCCGUGUCAUCCAGGAGAGGGGUCCCUACACCUUGCACACGCAGAUGGUCCCCCUUGCGCAGCAUAGCUCAGUCCACCCGGGGAAGAAUUCCGUGCGCCAACAUUUCAUAUCCGGAAUUCCGUGCGCCGACAUUUUACAUCCGGAUAUCUCACAACCGGAUGGGAGAGGAGGACGUUUCAACUUCUCUAGUCAGACAUAUCCGGAUCCUCUGAUAGCGCUUACCAGGAGAGUUUUUCUCUCAGUAUGUAGUACUGCGGUGUUCUCCUGAAGCUUCCUGAUAUUUCUGACCGACAUCUUGAGAUAUUUCCGACCGACAUCUUGAGAUAUUUUGUUUUAGAUAUUUGUUGUCUAAAUCCCCAAACUCUCCUUGUAAUCCACCUAUCAUAGGAUUCCUUAGUCUUUAAGUAAGUACAAAGGGUGAAUAACCUCAUAUAUAUAGUUUGUAAUUUUCUUUACAAAGGGAUCGAUCAUGUAAUUAGUGAAAGGAAGAAAUAUAAUUCACAGAGCACUUGCUCUGUUUUUCCUUCAUAUAAUUGUUUUCUCGUUAGUUUUCUUACUAGCCAAACAAGCUUUGAGGAAGUUUCCUCAGAGAAUGAGUGGCUAGACUUUUAGUUCCUUGGAGUUAAGGUUGCCGGGAAAGGUUCCAAGUGCAUGAAUUAGUAGCUUUGUGGUUUCAGUCAUUAAUGAAGAGAAAGUGUGAUCCUUAAAUGAUUUCUAUGUUUUUAGUUAACAUAAAACACCUUCAAGUCACUUGAGCCAACACUUGGUAAGGCACGUGAUCUCCGUCCAUGAAGAUGCACUUGUUUAUCUCUUGCAAGCUUUUGGGAAGUGACUUGGAGGUAGGAUUUUCUAGAAUUGCCAACACUUGGUAAGCUUUUGGAUUACAAUGAGACAUCCAUUAGUUAUCUCUUGCGAGCUUGAGAAAGGAAGUCCAAAGUUAAAGAUCACCUUGAAUGGCAAAUGCUAGGUGAGAGGCACGAGCCAUUACAAGUUGCAUCAGUGAGAGAGAAUUAGAGUUGAAAUCCAUUUAAAGGUUACAUCUGUACAACACCGGUUAGAGAAUUGACUAUAUGUUAAUUCUCUAAUGCGAGGAAAUGAACCAAAUGACCAGAGCUCUGUUUUUGCAUAAGGAACCUUCCCUGUGAACCUAAACCUCCAAGGAAUGUUUUUCUUCAUAAGUAAUUUCCAUUACUUUCUUUUUGGUUAGUUUAAGACCAAACCCUUUUCACUCAAACAUCUUUAUGUUUUCUUUUAAAGCUAACCUUGAAAUGAAAAAGUACCAACUCAGCUUUGAAUUGGUAUCAGUGGAGAGUUGAAAACCCUUCCCAGUGAAUGCUCCUAGAGCCACUAUACUAUAUUAGCUAAAGCUAUCCUAAUGCAUGGUGAUAUAGGUUAUAAAUUUUGUUGAUCACUUCCUCAGUCAAGGAGCACCAGCUGGACAUGAAUCAGCUGAGACACCAAUUGGGAACGAAUCAAUAUAACAGAGUAAUAUUCAUUUAUAUUUAUUGAUAUAUAUUUCUUGGUUUCCCUUUAUUAUCUCAUAUGUGUUAAUUGAUUAUUUAAGCAUACACGCCCUACAUCACUUACAUUGUACAUGAUUUGGGUGCAUUAAAAGUUUCAUAGAAGAUCUAGGUCAUGGGUUUUUUUUAGGAUGAUGAGUUGUCUAUAGUUGGUUCAUGAAUUUAGGCAAUCAAUUUAAGAUUAUAAUGCACUACCUCCUGAUUGAAGGGAUGACUUAUCUUAGUCAUCGAGAUGGUUUUUUCAUGGUGAACACAAUAAUAUAUGUGAUGCACAUUGAAUAAGACUUAUAAUGAAUCAUGAUUCAAGGCUAUCUUGAUAGGUGAUAACACUCUCUUCUUAGAUUAUGGAUAUUAGUUCAUGGGGAGUCUGCAUGGAAUAAAUAUUAAGACACAAACCCAAGCUUUCGUUUUAUUGUAAUAACAUAGGAUACUAAAGUGCAAUUAAUUUUCUUUAGUGGAAUGUUAAAUCAACUUCAGAAUUGGAUUUUGAGGAAGCCAAUAUUUUUUUAUGGAUCCCAAUAGUUCUCACUCGAACUUCUAAAUCAAGGAAACACAUUUGUUUUAAGGAUAUUAGGUUUUAGGGUUCAUAAGUGUGCAUAAGAGUGUUUUGGUAAAAAUACAAGUUGCACUAGAUCAUAGAAAUUAACUUUUUGGCAUAGGUUAAUUAACUAAUUGGAGCCCAAUAGGGCUAAUUAAUUAAUUAGGAUCCAAGUGGGCUAGAUUAGGUUGUCCAAGCCUAAUUGAACUUAAGUUACUUAAGCCCACUAAGAGUCCUAAUACCCCUAAGGGUUUCCUACACUCUUUUACUGUCUUUUUCCAAAGAGCCUCCAUAGAGAUUGAGAAACCCUACUUUUCAUCUAAGAGAGAAAAGUCCACUAUUUUCUUGUGCCUAGAGUGUUUUAAGGAGAGAUCAUUGGAAGGCUAAUAGGUAGACAACAUCUCCUACGAAUUCAGACUUGUUCUUCACCGCAUAAAUUAGAUUUGGGAACAUCUAGAUCUAGGUAUGGUUUCUUUUUUCUAGAUUAUUAUUUUAUUUGAUUUUUUUUUACCAUUGUUUCUACUAGAAUAGUUUCUAGAGAAGCCUAGGGUAGAUUACUUGCUCUCUAUUCGAUCCAGGGUAAGGAAACGAAUAAAUUCAGAGUUCUCAUCAGUUUCACAUUCUUAGAGCUUCUUCUAAACAUAUUUGGCAUCUUUUCUACCAUGAAUGACUACUCUUGCAACUUGUAUCUUUAAACCUAAGAUUUAACUAAAGAUGUAUCUUAGAUAGACAAAGUUUUUAUCAAUAAUUCAAAUUAAGUUGAGUGAGUUGAGCCUUUAUAUUGCAUAACUAAUUCUCAAUAUGUGCCAUUAAAACACAAUUUGUGGCUCUAAUUAACUAGGAAGCAUCUAUUGGAGUAAAUUGACAAUAAAUUGAUAGAAUCAAGAAAUUUUGAUAUGGAAAGUGGAAGUGAAAGAGAAAAUUCAUUUCAACAUCAAAUCAACAAUAGAGGACAAACCAAUAUCAUUUUCUAUGUCAAACUCCUUUAUGUCCCUUUUAGUAUUGCAUUCUCAAUCUAUUACCCUCGGAUAUUUGGAGAUUAACAUCCGAUGUUGAAAUUUCAAUAGAGAAUCGAUUCUAAAGUUGAUUUCAACCCAAUGUCAACUUAUUAUGACUUGUUUCCUUCUUUAAAAUUGCUUCUUCAUGAUUUUUUUUUUGUCAGUUUUAUAUUAUAUUUAGACUGUUCCUUGUAGGAUUAGGGUUAGGAUUUAUUUAUAUAUUUUAUGAUUAUUAAUAGGGAUAUAAAUGGGUUAAAGGAGGAUAACCUUUAAAACUUUAGUAUAUUUUAAACAAUUUUAUAAUGAAGGAAUAAGCCAAUCUUGGGUGCCAUGAUAUCAAUCCUUUCCUUAUCAUGGUAUAGAACUUUGGCAAGUAUUAGGUUGUUUCUAUCAAGCUUUAACUAAUGAACCUUAUCAAACUUUAGACAUAAUAUGUGAAGAGAGAAUUGUAAAGAUGGAAUCAACAUUGGCCAUGUACUUGUUGGAUUAUCUUACAUCAUGUACUAUAAAUCUUGAUCUUAUUUCUAAAAAAAACGAUAUGAGUUUGUGAAUGAAAAUGUUAACCCUAGCUAGAAGGGAGACACUCAAUCUCCUUCUAUUGCAUCAUCAAAUUCUCUUACUAUAUGAGGGUUCCACAUGAUCAACAACCCUUAGAAAAUGUGCAUAGUGAAUACGUACAUAUAGACCCAAUUAGAGGUAAUAGUCAACUUGGAAGCAACCGGUGUUGAGAUGGAAAUUAUCAAUGUCAGACCAAGUGAAUUUACUAACCAAGUAACUCAAGUUUUGGCUGAAUUUGCGCUUGAGACAAAUACCUUUUUCUAUCAUUGAAUACAAUCAGAAAAGUGUUGAAUGAAACUUAAGCUUAAUUAUCUAAAAAUAUUGAUGAGUUUGAUGUUAUGGGCCUUGUCACUAUUGCACAGGAUUUUGAACUUGAAAUUUUUUCUGAAAAUGUGCAAGAGUUCAUUUACAAAUAACUCACUAAUAUUGGGAGGGGUGAUACUAAUCAUCAAAUACACCAUGAGCAUACUAAUAAUUCUUCUUAUGAGUAUAAUGUUCACACACAAAACCAAUAUUUUUUCAUAUAUAAAAGAAGGUUUUUAUAGAAAAAUUGAAUGCAAAUCAUUACCUUUUAAUUUAAAUGUAUGCUAAGUCCCAAAUUACUUACCCAAACAUAAACUAAGUUCUCACUUAUGACCCAUGUAACAAGCUACACCAAGUAAGAAGGAUAGAACAAUUAGCUCAUAUGGAGGGCUCUCUAAUUUAAAAGACUACAAAUUGUCUAGGAUUCAAAGAAUGAUUAUAUUUAUUAUUGUAGUGGAAGGUAAUAAAAAAAGUCUUGAUAGUGGUUCCACUACUAAUAUAUCUACUGGUUUGAUCCUAAAUAUAUUUAUUUAGUGAAGAAUGUUGAAAAUAAAAAAUAAAAAUCGGAGGACCCAAGGGCAAUGGAAGUAAGGUGAAGGAGUUGAAAAUGCAUGAGAGUGCACAAGAACAUGAAAAGACAAGAAAAAUGUCAAAUUGAUACCCUAGAAUGCAAAUUGAUACCACGUUGAUUCCGACAUCAUAUAUUUAAUUUGACAAGAUACAAUAUGAGUGGAUGUAAAACAAUAUCUAUGCCAACAUAGAAAGAUAUUACACUUAGCAAAUCACCAAGUCCAAAUAAUAAAGAUGAAAUUAAGUAAAUGAAAAAUAUUCGUUAUGUGCAAGUAGUUGAAAGUCUAAUUAUACAAUGACUAGUACUAGGUCGGAUAUAUGUUGUAUCAUGGUAUUAGUUAGCAUAUACUAAACUAAUCUUAGCGAAGAGCAUUGGCCAGCUAUUAAAAGAGUAUUAAGAUAUAUUUAAGGUACUAAGAAAAAUAAACUAUGUUUUACAUAAGGUGAUUAAAAAAAUUAUGGGUAUUCGUAUGCAAAUUUUACCAGGGACCAUGAUGACUAAAAAUCUACUAGUGGUCAUACACUUUUAUUUAGAGGAGGUGCAACAUCAUGGUUAAGUAAAAAAGCAAACUUAUGUUGCUAGGCAUACAAUAGAAGCUAAAUAUGUAGCUUAUAGCUAGUAUGGCAACCACCCAAGCCUUUUGGAUUAAGCACUUAGCUGACAAUUUGAUAGUUAAGAAAUCAAGAGUUUAAGGUCAAAAUAGUAUUUUUGAAGAAAAAUAGCCAAAGUAGAUAUUCUCCCGAAAUAUUUGUCAAUCUAAUCUUUGCUAUCACAUGUUCAUUCAUGUAACUUUUUUUUUUUUUUUUGAGUAUAUAAAACCACAAUUGGUCAUUGUGAUUUUAGUUUUAAAUUUAAAAUCACAGUUACUAACUGUAAUUUUUAAAACAACAUACCACUUUAACAAAUAUUUUCAAUAUGAGAUUGAUAAUUUUUUUAAAAAAGAAAAACUACUUUGACCGAAAACUCAAGAAAACAAUUGAGCUUGUGAAUUUGCUGUGUGAUCAUAUGACUACAAUAUAUCAUUUAUUUGACACAUCAAGUUCAAAAGUGAAACACAUUCAUGUGAGUUGAUAGAUUGGAUUGAUUGGAUUAUAGUUUUCCAUAUAAUUGAAAAGUUGUAAAUCUUUGUUAAAGAUUCCAACUUUUUAAAAAGGGAUGCAAUAGUUGAUUGUCAAAAGAUAUUUAUCUAAAUAUUUAUCUAAUUAAAUAAGUGUCUUUUCAAUGGCUAUGUGUUAAAAUUGAAACAUUGUGAUUGAAUAGAUAUGAGAAUAUAUUUGAAAAAGCAUAACUUUUAGUAUUAAUAGAUACAUGUAAGUCAAAUUUGUAGUUCUCUCAUUCAUAUCUAUAAUAGGUUUCUAUUGAUUUUGUAAGAGUCAUACUUCGUUUUCUUCUAUUUUUUUCCCCUUCUUUGACAAUGUCUACACAAUAGCCUCCCACCAAUAGUCCAUCCAAGAUAUAACAUCAGAAAAACUUUCUUGACAAAUUGGGCAGAUCAAGAAAACAACAGUAACUAUUGCAGCAGAAGCUUACAAAUUAUAAAUAGGAUCAACACAAUUUUAGGAAGAAGGCAUUUGGUAGUUGCUAUUCUAUUAAAGCCACUUCUGAUGAAUAAAAGCAGUUGAAAGUUGGUGUAUCAUUUUUGUUGGAUGUCAUCACAUAUGGUGAUUGUGGUAAAUGAUGAAAUAGUCAAUGUUUUCAUAAUUCAAUCAUUGGCAUUGAACUAAAAAAGUUAUUAAUUUAUAAUUUAUAAAUUUGAUAAGUAGUGAAAUCAUGAUGUUAACAUGAUACCAUAAAUAUAUAAUUUAUAUUUUAUUAAAAUUUAAAAUAUAUAAAUUAUUGAAAACUUUAAUAAUAUUCAUUUUUUCUUUGACAUUAUUCAAUUAAAUUAUGAUAAAAAUAAAUAUAAAUGUAUUGAUAUUUUAAAUUUUAUUAAAUAAAACAUUUAUAAUAUUUAAGUAUAAAGAUAUUUUCAAAAUGAAAAGAAAAUACAAUUGUUUAUUGUUUUAUAAUUUUGGUUGAGGUUGGAAUCCCAUUGCUGCAAAGAAAUUAAUUAACUUCUGUAAAUUUCUCUAUCUUUUAUAACCUAUCGCUCAAGUACUAUGAUGGGUUAGUGAAUACUUAAUUUGGAGGUUUGAUUCAUUGACGAUUGAUUUAAUUAACUCUAUGUAGAACCCUUAAUCAAAUAUUGAGAUUAAUAAUGUUUUCAAUGUUUAAGAUUUGAAUUUGAAACAGUUUCGCAUUUUUAGAAAAUUGAGAUCCUAUUCCCGUUGAGAUCUGAUCUUAGGAGCAUACUUAUUCCCAUUGAAUUUCAUUUAUUUUGUGUUGAGAUUUUUGUUGAAACUAUGUUUUUAAAGUAUAGGGAUUGAAAGCUACAAUAAAGUAUCAAUGGGGUGACUGUUAUAAUUAUAUAGGAGCAUCAUCCAGGCCUGCACCAACUUACAAAUCCACAAGGGACUAUUUCUAUACUUGGUUUGCACUAGAUUGCAAAUUAGUGAGGAAUCAUCUCAUUGAAAUCAUCCCCAAGCCUACAUAAGCACAAAAAUGAAUAAGAGUCCAUCUUAGUCCCCAAUUGAUCCUUCCUGGUUCUUUUUAUGUUAAGCCCUUAGGUAAUUUCCAACCUUAUUUUGAUUUAGAAGUAAUUUUUUUUUUUUUUUUUUUGUAGCUCUUAUAUAGUUUUCCACAUAGGCCCCUAUUUUUAUUUAAAACUUUAGUAUAUUUUAAACAAUUUUAUAAUGAAGGAAUAAGCCAAUCUUGGGUGCCAUGAUAUCAAUCCUUUCCUUAUCAUGGUAUAGAACUUUGGCAAGUGUUAGGUUGUUUCUAUCAAGCUUUAACUAAUGAACCUUAUCAAACUCUAGACAUAAUAUGUGAAGAGAGAAUUGUUAAGAUGGAAUCAACAUUGGCCAUGCACUUGUUGGAUUAUCUUACAUCAUGUACUAUAAAUCUUGAUCUUAUUUCUAAAAAAAACGAUAUGAGUUUGUGAAUGAAAAUGUUAACCCUAGCUAGAAGGGAGACACUCAAUCUCCUUCUAUUGCAUCAUCAAAUUCUAUUACUAUACAAGGGUUCCACAUGAUCAACAACCCUUAGAAAAUGUGCAUAGUGAAUACGUACAUAUAGACCCAAUUAGAGGUAAUAGUCAACUUGGAAGCAACCGGUGUUGAGAUGGAAAUUAUCAAUGUCAGACCAAGUGAAUUUACUAACCAAGUAACUCAAGUUUUGGUUGAAUUUGCGCUUGAGACAAAUACCUUUUUUCUAUCAUUGAAAACAAUCAGAAAAGUCUUGAAUGAAACUUAAGCUUAAUUAUCUAAAAAUAUUGAUGAGUUUGAUGUUAUGGACCUUGUCAUUAUUGCACAAGAUUUUGAACUUGAAAAUUUUUCUGAAAAUGUGCAAGAGUUCAUUUACAAAGAACUCACUAAUAUUGGGAGGGGUGAUACUAAUCAUCAAAUAGGUACACCAUGAGCAUACUAAUAAUUCUUCUUAUGAGUAUAAUGUUCACACACAAAACCAAUGUUUUUUCAUAUAUAUAAAGAAGGUUUUUAUAGAAAAAUUGAAUGCAAAUCAUUGCCUUUUAAUUUAAAUGUAUGCCAAGUCCCAAAUUACUUACCCAAACAUAAACUAAGUUCUCACUUAUGACCCAUGUAACAAGCUACACCAAGUAAGAAGGAUAGAACAAUUAGCUCAUAUGGAGGGCUCUCUAAUUUAAAAGGCUACAAAUUGUCUAGGAUUCAAAGAAUGAUUCUAUUUAUUAUUGUAGUGGAAGGUAAUAAAAAAAGUCUUGAUAGUGGUUCCACUGCUAAUAUAUCUACUGGUUUGAUCCUAAAUAUAUUUAUUUAGUGAAGAAUGUUAAAAAUAAAAAAUAAAAAAUAAAAAUCGGAGGACCCAAGGGCAAUGGAAGUAAGGUGAAGGAGUUGAAAAUGCAUGAAAGAGUGCACAAGAACAUGAAAAGACAAGAAAAAGGUCAAAUCAUACCCUAGAAAGCAAAUUGAUACCAAGUUGAUUCAGACAUCGUAUAUUUAAUUUGACAAGAUACAAUAUGAGUGGAUGUAAAGCAAUAUCUAUACCAACAUAUAAAGAUAUUACACUUAGCAAAUCACAAAGUCCAAAUAAUAAAGAUGAAAUUAAGUAAAUGAAAAAUAUUCAUUAUGUGCAAGUAGUUGAAAGUCUAAUUAUACAAUGACUAGUACUAGGUCGGAUAUAUGUUGUAUCAUGGUAUUAGUUAGCAUAUACUAAGCUAAUCUUAGCGAAGAGCAUUGGCCAGCUAUUAAAAGAGUAUUAAGAUAUAUUUAAGGUACUAAGAAAAAUAAACUAUGUUUUACAUAAGGUGAUUAAAAAAAUUAUGGGUAUUCGUAUGCAAAUUUUACCAGAGACCAUGAUGACUAAAAAUCUACUAGUGGUCAUACACUUUUAUUUGGAGGAGGUGCAACAUUAUGGUUAAGUAAAAAAGCAAACUUAUGUUGCUAAGCAUACAAUAGAAGCUAAAUAUGUAGCUUAUAGCUAGUAUGGCAACCACCCAAGCUUUUUGGAUUAAGCGCUUAGCUGACAAUUUGAUAGUUAAGAAAUCAAGAGUUUAAGGUCAAAAUAGUCUUUUUGAAGAAAAAAUAGCCAAAGUAGAUAUUCUCCCAAAAUAUUUGUCAAUCUAAUCUUUGCUAUCACAUGUUCAUUCAUGUAACUUUUUCUUUUUUUUUUGAGUAUAUAAAACCACAAUUGGUCAUUGUAAUUUUAGUUUUAAAUUUAAAAUCACAGUUACUAACUGUAAUUUUUAAAACAACAUACCACUUUAACAAAUAUUUUCAAUAUGAGAUUAGAUUGAUAAUUUUUUUUAAAAAGAAAGACUACUUUGACCAAAAACUCAAGAAAUCAAUUGAGCCUGUGAAUUUGCUGUGUGAUCAUAUGACUACAAUAUAUCAUUUAUUUGACACAUCAAGUUCAAAAGUGAAACACAUUCAUGUGAGUUGAUAGAUUGGAUUGAUUGGAUUAUAUUUCCCAUAUAAUUGAAAAGUUGUAAAUCUUUGUUAAAGAUUCCAACUUUUAAAAAGGGAUGAGUAGUUGGUUGUCAAAAGAUACUUAUCUAAAUAUUUAUCUAAUUAAAUAAGUGUCUUUUCAAUGGCUAUGUGUUGAAAUUGAAACAUUGUGAUUGAAUAGAUACGAGAAUAUAUUUGAAAAAGCAUAACUUUUAGUAUUAAUAGAUACAUGGCUAGAUACAAGUCAAAUUUGUAGUUCUUAUAGGUUUCUAUUGAUUUUGUAAGUCAUACUUUUUUUCUUCUAUUUUUUUCCUAUCUUUGACAAUGUCUACACAAUAGCCUUCCACCGGGAGUCCAUCCAAGAUAUACCAUCAUAAAAACUUUCUUGACGAAUUGGGCAGAUCAAGAAAACAACAGUAACUAUUGCAACAUAAGCUUACAAAUUCUAAAUAGGAUCAACAUAAUUUUAGGAAGAAGGCAUUUGGUAGUUGCUAUUCUACCAAUGCCACUUCUUAUGAAUAAAAGCAGUUGAAAGUUUGUGUACCAUUUUUGUUGGAUGUCAUCACAUAUGGUGAUUGUGGUAAAUGAUGAGAUAGUCAAUGUUUUCAUAAUUCAAUCAUUGACACUAAACUAAAAAAAAAAAUUUAAUUUAUAAUUUAUAAAUUUGAUAAGUAGUGAAAUUAUGAUGUUAACAUGAUAUCAUAAAUAUAUAAUUUAUAUUUUAUUAAAAUUUAAAAUAUAUAAAUUAUUGAAAACCUUAAUAAUAUUUAUUUUUUCUUUGACAUUAUUCAAUUAAAUUAUGAUAAAAAUAAACAUAAAUGUAUUGAUAUUUUAAAUUUUAUUAGAUAAAACAUUUAUAAUAUUUAAUUAUAAAUAUAUUGUCAAAAUGAAAAGAAAAUACUAUUGUUUAUUGUUUUAUAAUUUUGGUUGAGGUUGGAAUCCCAUUGCUGCAAAGAAACUACUGUAAAUUUCUCUAACCUUUAUAACCUAUCGCUCGAGUACUAUGAUGGGUUACCAGCCCAUGAAAGGAUUUUCGCGCCCACGAGACCCAUACUUGGGCCAUGCACUAACUUCUCCAUUUGGGCUGCAAAACUUGUCCAAAUUGGCCCGCCUGGUCCCCCGUAUCCGUGUCCGGUUUGUUAGGACAACGAAUCAAAAGGGAGAAUCAGAUGGGAAAGAUGUCCAGGUGAUGGUCCAACCAGUUGAACUGGUUGCUUUAGUCCGAUUUUGAAAACAUUGGAUAAAGCAGCUGGGUAUACAAACUUGCUUUGGUUGGUUUACUUUUCUAUCUAUUUUUAGGCACAGAUGGCUAUUCUUGGGCUACAGCAUUACCCAUAUAAGAUCCAUAUUCUGAAAUGUAAUUUUCAACAUCCAUUGUAUUUAUACUUGACGGUCUUUCCUUGUUUAUUCUUCAUUGUAGUCUCAUGCUCCUCUGCAACCAGCUUUCUUGUCCACAUAAAAUGUGGUCUCUUGAUUGAAAUUACUCCACUGGUUGCUCUAAUAAGGAUGGUAGAGGCAUGAAAUAUUCUGACAAUUUCUCUUGUAGUUGGGGAGUUGACCUAAAAAGCAAGAACAUACCGCACCUGUAUAGGAAGUUCCUGAAGAGAAGAAGAAGAAGAAGAAGAAAGGAAAAUAAAAAUAAAAAUAAAAAAACAAAACAAAACAAAAACCUUGGAACGUGAACAGUUAGCCAAUUAAAAUUGCUGUAGUUGAUUAGAUGUGUCCAAAAAAAAAUAACUAACAAUUUUUUACCAAUUAUAUGAUUUAAAAGACCCUAAAUCAUAAUUAAUCUCUCCAAUUUAAAUGUUCAAGCUGUGGUAGGUGAAAAGUCAUUCCUUCUAGAGACGUCUCACCUACUACGAUAAUAAAAGCAUUUUUCAAGCAUUGCUCUGGUUCAAAAUGCGCACCAGCGUUUCCCCCUCAAGGACUGUUGCUCCAUCUUUGCUACUAGCACUGAUGAAGAUCAUGGUGACGAUGCGUCUAUUUAAGCAUGAAAAUUUAAUGGUAGGGACAUUCAAUGUUAGGUGGAGUGAAAUGGUCUUUAUAUGAUUCAAAACGGUAACGAUAGAUGUAAAUAUUUGAUCUUUCAAUGAUGCCUUCUGUUCUGUGAUGUGUAAAAUUGCCUUAUGUUCCAGUCAAGAAAGGAUUAAUUGCUUUUGCCUUGGGCAGUUAUGUCCAAUUUUUCGACCCAUCACAUGUUAGGCAACAAAUUAACUUAGCUACUAGAAGGGUGGAAAAGAAGUGACACCAGCACUGAUGGGAGUGGUUGAACUACCCUACAUCCUUGUUAUUAUCCUAAUAUACAACUUCAUCUUCCUUUUUUGGAGCCAUGGUUUUAUGGUUUUUAAUACACCCGUGGCAGGGAAAAAGCAAAUAAUCCCAGUUAGGUAUUAAUCAAUUGAUUAAGAUCAUAGCAUAUAUAUGCUACUUUUUGAGGAAAAGUGCGACAAGGGCCUGUACUGAUCAUGUCAUACAUGUAUCAUCUUUGUCGAUCGGAGACCAAAUAAGAGAGUGGCUCCAUACAUGAUCAUGCAUAUGCUUUGGACUGGCUGAAGGGCAACUCAUAUUCCGGACAUGGAAAAAAGAAUAUGAAGCAUAUAUAUGACAAUAACAGCAGGAAGAAGCCAGAAGAAGAAAGAAAUGGGCCAUUUUACGUCGCAUCCACUGAUAUGCAUUGUUUUAACGACUUCUUUUUCCACCUGCUUCAGAGCCGUCUUCUAUGAAGCGGCAUGCAAAGGUCAAAUUUCAUACUUUAAGAAUUAUUGAUCAUAUAGGAAACUGAAAGUAUGUACUUAAUUGGUGUGUAUAUGUUGAUGCAAAGAAUGAAAUCCUAAUUCGAAUGUAUUCCGUCCUCAUUUAUUAUGCUUGCCACCUAUUCAGGGGGAAGUUGUGUUUUGGUCUGAGUGUGCAUGAUUGCUUGGCACAUGCCUACCGGCUGGCGUGAAUGAUUGUUCGGGUCUGCACAUGUCUAUCAAUUUCUUGCUUCCGAAUCAUUCCUCUUGUGGGACUUUUUUUGCCUUCCUGGAUCAACGUCACUGCCAAAUAUAUGCUGACCACAUGUGUCUUUGUGUUCUUUAUAGAUUGCUUAUGGCUUCUCUAAAGAGAUAUCAUCCUCAGAGAUCAAGUUUAUCACUCAAUUUACCACAUGAUUUCACCCGUAUCCACAGCCAUAAUUGCUUGGUAAGCUUACGUACAUGAUAAAGAUGACAAUGAUACCUCUGGAUAAUGCCAUUUAAAUUCCAUGUGCGACCUCCAUGCGCCAAGCCAUUGCUUUGUGGCAACACAAACGCAUGAUCAAGGGCUACCGUGCAAUCAUAUAUUGUUCUGCUGUCCUCUUUAUGGCAUUUGGAUUUUGAAUCCUAACCAUUAUUUACACAAUAAAAAUGAUAAACCCUAGAGUCAAUUUUUCAUGUUUCUUUAUUUCUGCAAUAAAAGUAAGCUCUGAUGUGAGAUAUCAUCCCAUCUGUGGAAUCAGAAGUAGAGCAACAGUUUCAUGUAAAUAGAAUGGAUCAACAAACUUUUCUUUCAUGCCCACACUCUCUGUGUACAAGAUGGAAAUCUGUCCCACAACACAAGUAGUGGGCGAAAUUCAUUAAAGUUUUGGCAGCUCAUGAUGGAAAAGGAACCGUACAUAAAUUGAUUUGGUUGACCCAUUAAUUAAGCAUAUCUCAUCAAUAAAGACAGGUAAUAUGGAUCUGAAUUUCUAUUAAAAGAAAACGCAUCUUACCUCCAAUGCACCGAAAUAAUGUGUCUGAUAAGAUCCUUGAUUUCCAUCUAAUGGCACUCUUUUUCAUUAGACGGUUUUCUGAAAAAGUAAGGCUAUGGUGAACUGAGUAGUGAUGAUCCCAGUGCAGGAAGCAAUUUUGCAGGAAAAUAUUUUAUAGCAUAACAAAUUAAUAUGGAGCUUCCUCACAGUGGAGUAUUAAUUUAUCUAUCUAGUAAAUGGAGAAACAAAUUAUUGUGGUACCAUGAAACUGGUUCCGUCUACUUUUCUCCUUUGAAGGCUGAAUGAAUUCCUGACUUUGUGAAUGUAGAUGUAUACUUGAACUUAGGAGUCCUUAAUGAGAAACAAGAGGAUAAUUUUGACCAGUCAUUGCAUAGCGAUCUGGAAAGCUGUGAUUAUGCCCAGAAAUUGCCCCCUUCGUCUCUCUCACACACUCGCGGAGAUGCUCUUUCAUAUAGAAAAAGGACACCCACACUGAGAUAUUCUGCAACAAGGGAAACUACAAAACAAUAUCAUAAUGUGGGCACAUCUCAUAGUUGUGAGGGUUCAUCUGAGCAUAACCAUAAACACCCCAACUCAACAUUAACUUGUCUUUUCUGCUCAUACUGUAUCAUAUAUUGGAUUCACAUGGGGUCAGGAAUCCAAAAGAGACUGCAUAUCUAGCUACACCAAAAAAAAAAAGGUGGGGAAAUGAAGAAGGGAGAGAGAGAGAGAACUUAUUCAAAUUCACAUCAACAAUCCUCCUUGUCAUGGAGGUAGCGUGGCUGCUUUUUAAUUUAAUUUUCUGUGUACUUCAACAGAAAUUCCAAGAAAAAUAAAGUGUUUUAAGUUCCGACAGACACUAUCUACCGAGAAAUCAAUUGAGCCUUUGAGUUAAGCAUUGUUAGGGCCUAUCACAAUAAAAAAUCAUGUUGUGAUUUGUUUACUAUUAUCUUCAGCAUGACAAGGGUCUGCAGACCAGUAUUGCCAUUUUAUAUGAUUGAUUAUCACUACACAAAGAAGGGUCAACUAAAUCAGUUCAAGGACGAGCUAAGGCAGAUAUAUAGACAGAAUAUUGACUAUUAGCCUUACAGCAUGUGGACUUACAGAUCAUAGCUGUAUUAAAUUAUUAAGCUAAUUAGAGAUUCCUUGAGUUCUUGGGAGUCAAACAAGAAGCAUCUUUUUUUUCUUAGAAAUUAAUGUAAAUAAUCUGACGAGAUCAUAAACAAUCAACACAUGAAUCUCUACUUUCCUCAUUAAUCUCUGCAUAUAGUUCAUUUGAUCUUUGCUGGUCUGAUUUGAAACUCAUUAGAAAAAGAAAAAGAAAAACCCACUAGAGUCCCUAUUUUCCAGCCAUGGUUUACAGACAUGAAGCUGUGGUCCAUUGCCAGAAAAAGCAGGCUCCACCUAUAAAAAAAAAACCAUUUAUAAUAUUGAUUCUCCAACCCAUAAAAGCCAACAGUGGAUGCAAAGAAUCAGGUUCCCAUUUAUUUUUUACUGGGUUCAUCUCCUUUUCAAUUGAGUGCCCAGAGAAAUCUCAUGGGAGCAUUAUAGAAGAUAAGGACAACUGCACCAAACCUAGUGGGACGAGGAAGAUACUGAACUAUUUUGUAAGGUAGGGGACUGUUUCAACGCGCUUCGAAGAUCUCCAUGACUCUAAAGUCUAAACAAAGCAGAAAAUUAAAUAUAGGAAACGCGGGAAACAAUAAAGGAAAGAGCUAGCCACACGACUUGCAGUCUUGUUCAAUCUUCAUAGAAUAUUUAUUACUUCGCUUGAGGUUUGUAUGGGCUUCCUGCUCUAUUUUAGAAAUCGUAUAUUUGAAGGAAAGAAAAAAAAAAAUCUCUGCUGCAUUCUGUGAAUGUCUCUGUCAUGCGUGGCUGGGGUUUCUUUGGAUAAGAUCAGUUGAUUCACUUGUGCUCAUAGCUUGUACGUGAGAUUUAAUUUUCUGGUUGGAAAAUAAAGCUGUGAUGGAAUAUAUGGUCAUGAAUAUGGGCCGGAACCCCAUCACAGACCCUCAUCAUAAAACAUACGGGUCAUGUUAUGAGUUAUGACAACAUCAUAGAAUGAUGUUAUGGAUCAGUAGCGUCGAGAGAGGUAGCUAGCUAGUAAUAUAGAAAAGCUCCAAAUUAAGAAAUGAGAACCCCAAGCUCAAUGUAAAAUGCUGCAGAGCUCUAGUUUUACUUUUAGGCAAAAUGGGAAUGAGCUUUGAAAUUAAAAAUAAUUUCAUUCUCAAGUGUAAUUUUCUGAUUAUAUGGAGACCAAAUUAGGAAAGAAACCAUAAAGAGUAGGUCUCCACUUUUUUCUGGUUCAAAAACCCAUUGCUCUGGAUACGAGGAGUCCAUCCCACAUUAAUGAUGAUGCAGCAUGCAUGCAUGGGGUAGCCGAGGGCCAAACUGCUUUGCGAGUCUUAGAGUGUAUUAUUAUUGUGCAGAUAAAGAUUGCCAAAUUUAGGCCCAUAUGGGCUCCCACACCAACUUUAGGAAUUACGAGUCUUCUUUUGCUUGAUUUCCUUUUCAUACACCCACUUAACUCAAAUUUAUCCAAUCUUCAAAUUUCUAAAAUUUUCUACUCCAUUCAUUCUCAAGAGAAGGAAAGGCUGAAAAUUAUUUGAAAAUAGAUUUUUUUUUUCCUUCUUUCUUUCUUUCUGUCACUCAUUGUCAACAUUAUCCCUUUUCAAAGGGAGCCAAACAAAAAAGGACCAAUACUUAAAAAAAAAUAAAUAAAUAAAAUAAAAUAAAUGGGUGUGAUGAAUUAAUACUGAGAGGGUCAAGGCUCUUAAAUGAAAGUAAGUAACUUACCAAACAGAAGAAUAAAAAUGAAACAAGACGUACAAGGAGCAGCAGCUACCCCCAACAAGGAAAAUAAUAAAAAUGAAGGUGGUUCAUUAAACAUUGAAAAUUGUACAAUCUCUACUUCCUCACUAUGCUCAUCAGAUUUAAUGGCCAUUUAAUUUCUUGCAAUAAAUUUGUUUCUAUGUCCAACACAGCUGUACAAUCUUCUGAUUACUCCUGAGCAACACAAAUUUGUAAGCAUAUAGUUAUGAGAACCUACCAACCAAAAAAUAUCAAGCUACGCUUGCAAUAAAAUAUGAUUUUUUUUCCAAAGUACUUCUAUAAAAUGAACGACCAGCUGUACACUGACAGAAAGCGUAAUAUUACUAAUGUUUUAAUAUAGAAAAAAAAUAAAAUAAUAAAAUAAUGAUAUAAUUUUAAUGGGUUUGACUUCCAAACUGCCUUUAAAACAUUGUGACUAAAUAGUUAAGAUACAAGGAACAAGCAUCAUUUGUUGUCACAUGUAAGGGGAGUCCAUUAAAAGAAUAUGAACAAAAGAGAAAAAACAUUAUUAAUUAUCCUUUUUAAAAUAAAUUCGAAAAAUGUGAACAAAUUAAUUUAGAAAAAAUUGGCCAAAAGAAUGAAACCUUUCCUUGUAUAAAAUCAAUUAUUAUUUCUAUAUAUACGCCAACAAUUUUUGUUUGAUUUCAUAAAAGAAAUUAUUGAAUUCAAUGAAUUAGAGGGCAGUAGACAAAAACAUUUUUAAAAAUGAUUGUUGUUCAUAAAAUGCAAAAUCGUGUUUCCUUUACUCAAUAAUACGUUCAAUUUUGCCUAAGCAACAACUUUCACGAGUGAGUAUGUUUUGAAGUGAUGGAAUGAAAAUAUUAUUUUGGGUUUUAAAAGUUAACAAAUAAUUCACUAAUGCCUUUGAAAACGAAAGGAAUUGAAAUCAAACUAUAAACCAUAUAGUGAAAGGCAUAUUUGAAAGGAAUUGGGAAAGACAAUGUGACCAAAUUUGGAAUUGGAAUGGGGGAUAAACAGAGGAAAGUGCAAAAAUGAGUGCAUGAUGAUGAUGAUUCAGUGUUGAAGAAUGUCUUAUGCCAAUUCCGUAAGGUAGUAGACAAGUUGUAUUACUUUAUAUUUUUAGAUGGGGCCAUCCCCCUCACCCACUCUCUCAUUGCCCUCAGUUCUAAGCUAUCGUCUGCCUCAGAUAAAACCGGUUCUGAUCUUUCUGUUUCCCUCCUUUCUUUAUUUCUUUUCUUUUCUUUUCUUUUCUUUUUUUAUCAGACUGUAAAACUGCAAACCUCAAGUGCAAUGUUUUUUAAAUGGAUUGAUAUUAAUCUCUUUUAAUUUUCUAUUAUUUAUAUCUACAUUAAGUAGCAUAGGGUAGCUAUAGAAACUUUAGGAUAACUUUAGUAAAGGCAUUGAAACAUAUACAUCGUUUUUUUCUUUUUUUCUUUUUUUCUUUUUUAAGUGUAGUAAUUUUUUGAAUAGUUAGUGUAAAAAAAAAGUGAAUUGAGUUUUUUGAAAAGAUAAAUUUAGUAUAAAAAUUUUAUAAGAAUUCACAUUUUUAAAAAUGAACUCUUUGAUAAUGAAAAAAUGAGAGUUAUCAAAUAAAGUGGGCCAAUGAUGAUAAUAAUCAGGAUGGGUCAUUUUAUCUUAUAAAUCCCUACAAAUGACCAAAAUUAUUAUCAGUUUUUUUUACCAUUUGAAUGACUUUUUAAAUUGUGGCUUGAUAGAAAUAAGAGAGAAAGAAAAGUAAAAUUCUCUAGUUCACUUCACGAUUGAAAUUUGCAACUUGAUCAAUAUAUGACUUAUUAUAAACAAGAGAGAAGGAAAUCAAAUUCAAGCUUUAAAUUUUCACAUUCCCAUCUUCUUGUCGUACUAGUCUCCUUUUCCUUCUUUAUAAAUGACAAUGUGGAGAAGUUUAAGAAAACCCUUCUUCAAAAGGUACGCUAAUUUCUUUCUCUUCAUAGAUAUUUUUAUUUUUGUUUAAGAAAUUCAUUUUAUAGAGAUUUCAAUUUUUAGGAUUUUAUUUUGGGCAUUUGAAAAUCCUUUUAUAAUAAUUUCACUUUGGGUAUAUGAAAAAUCACUUUAUUGUGAUUUGAAUUUCUAAGGUUUGAUUUUGAUAAUUAGAGAAAUCUCAUUUUCUUAAGAUCCAUUACAAAACAAAGUAGUGUAGUUUAAAAAAUUUGUUUAUAACUUAAACAUCAAAUUUUUACAUGAAAAAUUGUAAUAUCUUUUGUUUCAUGAUUUAUAUAUAUAUAUAUAUAAAUUAUAUUUUUACUACUAUCAUUUUCAUCCUUUGUUUUCUCUUCUUGUUUCAACCUUCAUAUCUUUUUUUUAUAUGCAUUUUUGGAGGUCUCUUUGCAUUUUUAACCCUGUUUUUUCUUUUUCUUUUUUGUUUUUUUUCAAUUUUAGGGUUGAUUUUCAGGGUAAGUACUCAUAUCUAAAUUUUAGAUUUUUAUUGCUUUAAUUAAUGUCCUUGCCUUAUUUUUCAAUUUGUGAUUUAUGUAAUUGGUAAUUGAGAUACUUUUUAUAUAAGUAUAUUGAGCGGAUAACAAAAAUUUCUAUAUAUGAACUAAGAUUCUCUAUGGAGGUCCUCAAAGCACUCUUUGUUUUUAUAGAAAAAGUUCCCUUUUUCAGGUUUUGUUUUUUUUCCUUUAAGACUCCAUUUAUGAAAUAUGGGAAAAAGAAAGUUGUCAUGCAUUUUCAAUAGUUUUAUGAAUAAAAUAAGUAUUUAAUCCUAAAAUUUGUUUAUACAUUUAUUCCCUUUUUUAUGUUAAGGUCCUCAAAGAUAUUUUUGUUUCAAAAAAAAAAUAUAGUUAAGUGAAAUUAACUUUUCUUGAAUUUUCUCUUAUUUCGAGCUCUAUUUAUAAAACCUAAGAGAAAAAAAAUUGCCAUGCAUUUUCAAUAGAUUCAAAAGUAAAAUAUGUGUUUAAGUCUGAAAUUUGUUUAUACAUUUAUAUAAUAUGUUUCUUUCUUUUCUAAUAUGAUGAUCAUUUUUUGGAAAAAAAAACUUGUGCUUAAAAAAGUACUUAGUUGGUACUUUGGUUGGAGACUGUCAUUGGCACACGACUUGAUACUCAAGUUCAUUGCAAGCUUACUGAUUUAAAAACACAAACUAUUGAUCAGGUUUUGUGAAUCAAUAAUAUGAAUUGGCAAUAGUUAGUAGUGCAACAAUGUUACUACACAAAGCUUUUAGUCUAAGGCAACACUCUUAUUUUUUAAAAUAUAUCACCGAAGAACAAUAAAAUGGUCAUGUGAGAGUGAUUAAUGCAUGUUGGCGUGUAUUUUACUUUGUAUUAUUACUAACCUUCUUUGAAAAACAUUGGUUUUGCUCCUAGAUCAUAAUCAAAAUAGUGAAUUAGAACAUAUGGAACCAUCUCUUUAUCUUUCUAUCAAGAAAAAAUAUGGUAGAUUAAUUGAUAUAUCAUUUAAUGAAAGAGCCCAAUGCAAAAAAAAAUGCAUGUUGGGUCUUUGAAACAGUUCAAAUCAUUUUGAUUUGUUUUAUCGAGGUCUAUAGUUCGAGUCCAUAAAACCCUAAUAUAAUAAAUAAGCCCUAUAAAAUAAAAAAAAUAUGAAAAAUAAUAUAUAUAUGAUUAUUAGUCCAUUUAAUGUAGAUUUGGAUUACUUUACAUAUACAUUAUUUUUAUACAAAAUAUAUGAAUGACAAUAAUAUACUACGCUUAUAAUAUAAAUAUACUAAUAUUAUAAUAUAUUAUGACAUGACCUAAUUAGAAGCUUUUGAACUUGUUUACGAAAGUGACAAUUAUGGUUCAUUAUUUUAUACUCUUUGACAUAUUGUACGUCAUAAAAAAAACUUAGAAGUGAAAUAUAGUAUCAAUUUGAAUUCACAAGACACAUAGGUUUUUUCUUUUUAUUUUAUAAAAUUCAUUAUGUAAUAAUUUUAAUGCAUUGAGUGAAUGAUGCUCAUACACUAGUGUGUUAUGUUAGAUGCCAAUAAGUAUAAAAAGACAUCGUUACUUGUAUUAUAAAAUUUUGGUAAUGACAAAAAUGCAUUACACUUACAAUAUAAAGAGACUCAUUACUAUACAUUACAACAUGACUUAAUUUAUAAAGUUUUAAAUUUUUUUUAUGCAAUUGUUAGGUAUAGGUUACUUUGUUAUAUUCCCUACCAUGCUUUAUGUCAUAAGUCAACGCUAGAUGUUAAAUAAAGUAUCACUUUGAAUUCACAAAUGUUAUUUUAAAGAAAUAACUUAGUAUUUUAUCAAAAAGUAUGAAUUAAUAAUAACCUAAAAUUGUUUUCUUGUAAUUUUUAGGAGAAGAUGACAAAUACAAGGUAAAGUUUCUAACAUAACUUAUAAUAUUUGAUGAUAAUGAAGUUCAAGAUAUCAUUUAUCACUGCAUAGAGAACACACGAAGUCCAUGAUGCUUUAUUGAGAGUUCAUUGAGAAUGUUUGAAGAUAAACAAUAUUGGAAUAAUUUACAUAUUAAUGAAUUUGCUAUAUUCCAUUUAUAUAUUGGUGAAUUUUUCCCUUUUAAUUUGUUUUGUUAGUUAAUGGGUAGUCCAUUGAUAUGUUAUUUCUUUAGAGAAAGAAUUUAGUAUAAAAUGAUAAUCAUACCAAAAAGUCAAAUAUUUAGGCAAAGGAAAACUUGAUUGUUUUAAUAUUUGUGACAGAUGUUUUUUUUCCCUCAAUGUAAUAUGAUAAUAAUUGCUAGUCAUCUUGUUAAAAAAAAUUUGUAUGGGUACUAUUCAACGCAAGCUAGAAGUUUCUAUUAAUUGUCUUACUAUAAAUUUUUAAUACAUAUUUUCCCAAUUAAAUAUGAAUCAAUGUUACUUACAUUUACUUCAUUACUUAGAUAUCAGUGCAUAGAAAAAAUUCUUAGUGAUGUAAAACAAUUAAAAAAAAUUAUAUUAGAUAUUAUUGUAAGGUAUUAUAAUGUUAGUAUAUUUAUAUUGAAAAUAUAAUUGAUUUAUGUCAUUCUUAUAAUUUAAAACAAAAUUUGUAGUUUUAGAGAUGCCUUUUAUACCUUAUGGGUACUAUUAGCAUCAUAUAUUCGAUGUAUUAAAAAAUGGAAACUAUGAAAAAAAAAAAAACUCAAAGUCAAGCAAAAAACAUAUUAUUCAAAUGAAAAAAAAUCAAAUAUGAAAAGAAAUAAUUAUACAAUUUUUUAAUUAUUUUAUUAUAAAAAACCAAAUUAUCCGAAAAUACAUUUUCCUUCAAUUAUUAUUUUUCUUUUCUUUUCAAAAAUGAGAUUGUUAUAAAGAACCUAAUGAAAGGGAAUUUAUGAUUUCUAAAAUAAAAACCAAAUCCAAGAUCAAUAUGAGUAUCUUCCAUCAAUACAACAAAACAAAAUUAAAUAAAAAAAAAAUUCAACUUAAAAGACAAUAAAUUUGAGCAUCAAUAUGGGUUUCAUAUUAUCUUUGGCUUCAAAUGAUAACAGUUGAUCUAACGGUUCAGAAAAAAAAAAAUUAUGGGAGAGCAUGAAGUAUUUUUAUAACUAGAUUUGUUGUUGGAUCUUCUUCGAGGAUAUGCAAGAGAUGAAGAAGAAGAUUAACACAAAUGGCCUUUGGAGGAAUUUUUACACUUUCUUCCCACCCUUCCCAAGACUUCUCAUAAUGGAUGAUUCCAUGGGGUCAUUAUCACCAUUAAUCCACCCUAUUUAGUAAUUUUCCCUACAAAAAAAGUGCAAGUUUUGCGUUAAAUUAUCAUAGAUAAGAAAGAGUAAUUUUUAAUAUGAAAUUAAAUUAUUUAAAAAAAAUAAAGAAUAAUGAGUGCGCAAAUCAAAAGAAAAAAAUGGUUUAGUUUGAGGGAAAAUCAAAGUAUGAAAAAAAAAACAAAAAAGUUUCACGAAGUGUGAGAAAAAAAAUCAUUUUAAAUUUAGUUAGAGAGAAUUUUAGAGAGUUUUAUUUUUCGAAGAAAAAAAUGAGUUUGAAAAAAAAAAAAAAAGAGAGAAGGAAUUCUAAAGAUUGAGUUUUAGUGAAAGGGAAUAUUUAAAAUUAAUAAAUUAUUGUGUAAAAAGGAUGUUUAAAACAAAUUAAAUUUGGUGUUUGUAGAGUAAAAAUAAUUUAAAUAAAUACAUUAACCAUCAACAAAAAAAAUAUAUUAAAAUACUAAAUUAAUUAAAAUAUAAUAAUCCUAUAGAAGGAGAGUUAAAUAAUAGUUCAACCAAUACAAAAAAAAUGUCAAAAAUGUUGAACAAGCUUAAGAUCAAGUAUAAAAAAUAAAAUAAAAAGUCAUUAUUAUUUUAUAAAAAUUUUAAAAUUAUACUUGAACUUUUUUUUCUCUUUUAAUUAGAUGAAUAUGAAUGUUUCAAUUAUUAUUUGAAUUGCAUUUAUGACAUGGUUAACACAUAUAACAUAUUGAGAUACUCAAUGUAUUGUAUUAUACCGUAUCCAAUAAAUUCAACUAGAUUAGUAUACAAAAAAUUUUACUAUCAAUGUCCAAUAUUAAUUUGAACUUAUUAUUCAAUUAGCAUACUAUUUCUUGUUUGGUUAUUUAAUAUUUAUGAAUUAUAACUACAAAAUAAUUUUUACUAAUACUAAUGCAUAUGAUAAAUUUUGGUUAUUAGAUUAUAAAUUAGUUGAAAAUAAUUUUUAACAAAACAAUAUUUUGUCUUUACUCUUUCUAGACAUAUCUUCAAGUUAUAUAAUUAAAUAAAUUUUAAUUGUUUUCCAUCUCUUAAGACUUAAAUUUUUAUUAGAAAAAAAUAAGUUAAGAUAUAUUAUUUUAUUAAAUAAUAUAAUGUAAUUUUUAAUAAAUAUUGAAUAAUUUCAAAUAUUAAUAUAAAAAAUAUGAAAUCAAUCUAAUUAGUAUGGUUUUAAAAAUCGAAUCGGACCGCUCGGUCCAACCGCUGGCCAAUCACGGUUUCAAUUUGAUUAAUUAGGUCGAAAAUAGUUUGAAUUGAAAUCGGACCCAACCCUUGAAUUAGAGGAACCGAUCGAUUCCAUCCGAACCGAAUGAACCCUGGUUGCUUAUUUUCAAUCUAAUUAGUAAACUUAUAUAAUUGCCUAAUAAAAUAAAAUACACUCAAAUUAAAAAGAAAAAAAAAAAGAAAAAAGAGUGCAAAUGUUGGACACAACCUUGGUUGCUUAUUUUCAUGACUUUAAACUCUGCUUUUUAAGAUGGAACGUGAUUCAUUCAAGUUAAGAAAUCCUUUAGGCUAUAUUUGGUUCCCGAAAAAUUUGAGAGAAAAUGCGAGAGAAAUAAAAUAGAGAAAAAAAGUGGAAGUAAAAAAAAUGAAGGAAACUAAAAAAAAUAGAUUCAAAAUUAAUAUAUUAUUUUUACAUGUUUCUUCAAGCUCAUUUCACUUAAUUUCCUCCAUUAUAUAAAGAUUAAAUAAAUUUAAAAUAUAUGAAUUUUUAACUAAUUUUAAUUAUAUUUAAUUUUCUUUUAAAAAAUUUGUAGUGAAACUAAAUAUAAGAAAAUUAUUUUUCUUUGCAUUUUUUUCUUUUCUUAUUUCUUUUUGGGAACCAAACAUAACCUUAAUGUACACUUAUUUUAGGUACCAAUGGACCUUUAUCAUUCCAUCAAAAACUUAAUAUACUACAUUGGAAAACAAGAAGUAAAAAACUAGUUUUGCAAAUUGAAUACAAUUAUGAAAAAAAAAAAAAUAGUUUCAAGGUGCAAUGAAAAAAGUUUACAAGUUUUAGAAUAUUGCACAAAAAAAUAUAUUAACAAAAUCUCAAGGUUUAGACAACAAACUGAUUUACAAGUAGUAAUCUUUCUAUGGAUGAAGUUUAAGAGCCUUAAAAGAGAGGUUCAAGUCAAAACUAAUCUUUAGAUAUAAGUUAUAAUUUAACUAAUCAAUCACUUAUUAUGUAUUAUACUUUUUGGGCAACCUUGGACUGUUAGCCACUGCAACCUACAACUUUUUCCCACUGCUCAAUUAGGUUAUGUUUGGUUUGGGGAAAGUAUUAAAGAAAAAAAAAUUAAGAAAAAUUUAUUUCCUUAUGUUUGAUUUUUCUAUAAUUUAUUUUUUAAGAAAAUUAAAUAUAAUUAAACUUAGUUAAAAAUUUAUAUAUUUUAAAAUUAUUUAAUCUUUAUAUAAUGAAGGAAAUUAAGUGAAAUGAAUUUGAAAAAACAUGUAAAAAUAAUUUAUUAAUUUUGAAUCUAUAUUUUAUUUUACUUUAUUUUUUCUUUCAUUCCACUUUUCUUUUUUCUUUUUUUCCCCUUACAUUUUCUCUCAGAUUUUUAAGGAAUCAAACAGAGGGUAUGAAUUUGAAUAUUUUUUAGCUAUAAAGGUCCAAGAAUUGGUUCAAUUGAAUAUCCAUAUAAUUUUGGAGGAACAUUUUAACAAUAUUAAUAAAUGUUUAUUCGAAUUGAAAAAUAUAUUUUAACUAAUGAUAAAAAUGAAUCAUGUUAAAUUUGAGCUUUUAAUUUUGUAUGAAUCAAACUCUUUGUUUUUUUUUGAAGAAAAAAAAAAUCAACAAUGCAUAAAUGGGUUUUUUUUUUUUAAAUCUUUAUAAAACUAUGAUUCUUUUUCCUUUAAAAAUGUUUAAUUUUUAAAUGUCAAUAUUAAGGCAUAUUUAUUAUCAUUGAAAAAAAAAUAUCUUUUGAUUUUCUUUUCAAUGUCAUUAAAAUUAAAGUCAUAAAUUAUAUGCUAAUCUUUAAUAGAAUGAUUCCACUUUUACCAUCACUUUCGUUAUCUACCUAGCUAUUGGGGAACUCAUGAUGGGACGUGAUAAAAAAAUGAAGUAAUUAUUUCACAAGUUAUUUAUCAAUUUUUUUUAAAAAAUCCUAAUUACCAUAACAUCACAAGAUUUUCUAUAAAUUAUUUUGCCAAACAUUAUGAAAAUGAUGAGAUAAUUUAAUGCUUCUAAAAUUAUAAUAAUUGAAGAAUAAGAUGAGAUUUGAUAGUUGUGGUGAAGUCUAAGACCGCGUUGAGUGUAAUCUGUAAUUAGAGAUAGUGGGGAAUUUCACGAGGCUUGUCAGUAGGCAAAACGCUGGAGUUUAUGCCCCAAUAAUCAAAUCGGGAAGCAGAGAUUCAAACGACAACAAACAAAAGCAAUAGCGGCUAGACGCGUGAAAAAUCCUUUAUGACGUAACGUGCCCCCCACUCAGAAAUCGCCACGUGUGGCACACGCGUCUUCUGAAUUACUUGAAAAUUGAGCAUCCAUUGAGUGUGCCCUGUCCCUUCUGUUUUUACCGAGUCAGUGAUGGACUUGUUAUAUUUUGAAUCCCACUCUCAUCUGCCACUCAUUAUCCUUCUCUACAUGUUUUAAAUAACUGAAAUUACUCUUAAGUGAGUCCACUCGACUACGGGGAUAUAUGAUUCACUCUCUUCUCAUAAGUUCAACUUCAAUUUUUUUUUUGGAUAAAGACAUGGUAAUAUGUACAAAUUUUCUUAAUUCUUGCAAAAAACCGUGACGCAUUAUUUUUAUUUAUUUAAAAAAAUAUGGGUAUAUUUGUGGAUGGAAGGCUUGGAAGCCAUAAUCUUGUACAGGUGAAUGGUGACAGACUUCAUUUAUGAUGGGGUAGUACUAUAUAAUAUUCUUUGUUUUUGGGAAGCAAAACUCUUAAACUUAAUAAUGAAUAAUUUUCUACCUGUUUAAGACUCAGCCUAUCAAAAUAAAACGGCCAAAACCCGGCCUUUAUCUCUCCGUAACUCCUAUAAAUUUCUGGUUCCAACGCAUCAGACACGCCAACAUUCUCGCUUCUUCUCCUCACUUCUCACUUCUCACUUCUCAAACUGAAGGAGAUAGAGAGAGAAAUGCAUAGACAACAUAAGCUUUUGAGCCAUCUCUUUCUCAUUUUCUUAUUCUCAGCUUCGUUUCCCAAUGUAGGAAUGGGUUUUUUUUCUUUUCUUUCUUUUGUUUUCUCAAUAAUUUUUCUUCUUUUUUCACACCCUUUCAAUUCACAAUGCAGGUUGCUUUGGGCGGAGCCGGUGAGGAAUCGGGCAAACCGGUGGCUGGAGAAAACCCAUUCACACCCAGAGCGUCUUUGCUUCGGUAUUGGAAUAAGCAGAUCGGCAGUGGCUUGCCAAAGUCCACCUUUCUUCUCUCCAAGGCAUCCCCAUUGAGCGCGGUUGAGUCGGCCACCUUUACUAAACUUGCCGCUCAAAAUGCGCUUUCCGACAAUCUGCCGGCGUUCUGUAAGUCUGCGAACCUGCUCUGUUUUCCCGAUUUGGGGCAGAGCUUGGAGAAGCAUGACGCUAGUUCCAACUUCGCCGUGUAUUCGAACAAGAAUUUCACCAAUUACGGAACGGAUGGACUCGGGGGAACGGACGCCUUCACAAAAUACUCGGAGGGGGUCAAUCUUCCUGUCGACGCAUUCAAGCGCUAUAGCCGUGACUCCGUCGGCAACAAUGAUAAAUUCGAUAAUUACGGCCGCGAGGGCAACGUCGUGGAUCAGAGCUUCAGCGGCUACGGUGCCGGGGCUACCGGCGGCUCUGGAGAGUUCAAGAAGUACAACGAAGAGGUUAAUGUUCCCAACCUUCGAUUCAACUCCUACACAGACGAUGGCAAUGGCCGUCAACAAUCAUUCACGAGUUACACAAAUGAGACCAAUUCUGGAGAUGAGUCCUUCAGUAGCUACGGCAAGAACGGCAACGGAUCUCCGAACGAGUUCACGAGUUACGGCAGCAGCUCCAACGUCAUCGGCUCCACGUUCACCGGCUACGGUGAAACCGGCAAUGCCGCCAACGAUACGUUCAAGAGCUACGGCUUUGACGGCAACGUGCCAGAGAACAACUUCAAGAAAUACGGUGAUGGUGGUAAUGCGGGGACCGAUACUUUCAUAAGUUACAGAGAUCAAUCCAAUGUAGGAGACGACUCCUUCAAAUCCUACGCCAAGAAUUCCAAUUCCGCAGAGGUGGAUUUCGUCAACUAUGGGAAAUCGUUCAACGAAGGUACAGACACUUUCGCUGGGUACGGCAAGGGAGCGACGAACCACAAAAUUAAUUUCAAGAUCUACGGCGUCAACAACACAUUCACAGACUACGCUAAAAAGGGCAUCUCCUUUUCAAGAUACACCAACAAAAGCUCUGAAACAAUGACUUCCAUGGCGGUCAGUGGCAGUUCAGUAAAUAGGUGGGUUGAGCCGGGUAAAUUCUUCCGCGAGUCGAUGCUGAAGAAAGGGACUGUGAUGCCAAUGCCGGACAUUAGGGAUAAAAUGCCCAAAAGGUCGUUUUUGCCCCGCACUAUUUCCUCCAAAUUUCCGUUUUCAACCUCCAAACUUGAGGAGAUGAAGAAAAUAUUCCAUGCCGCGGAUAACUCAAGCAUGGAGCACAUGUUCACAGAGGCAUUAGAUGACUGCGAGAGAGCACCCAGCAAAGGCGAGACCAAGCGCUGCGUCCCCUCCAUCGAGGACAUGAUCGACUUCGCCACCACCGUCCUCGGCCGCAACGUUGUGGUUCGCACCACCCAAUCCGUCGAAGGGUCAAAACAAAACUUAAUGAUCGGGUCGGUCAAAGGGAUCAACGGUGGACAAGUCACCAAAUCGGUGUCCUGCCACCAGAGCCUGUUCCCUUAUCUACUCUAUUACUGCCACUCCGUUCCCAAGGUUCGGGUCUAUGAAGCGGACCUCCUGGACCCGAAAACCAAAGCCAACGUUAACCAUGGUGUUGCCAUCUGUCACUUGGACACCUCCGAUUGGAGCGCGGGUCAUGGUGCAUUCGUGGCAUUGGGUUCGGGCCCUGGCCGGAUUGAAGUUUGUCACUGGAUUUUCGAGAAUGAUAUGACCUGGACCAUUGCAGACUGAGCCAUGACCCACCUUCCCGUCUGGGUUCGAACCACUUGGUCAACAAAGCUGGCUCGACCCCAACUUCCGCUUAUGUAUUUCCUUCAUAAGAUGUCAUGGUGAAAUAUUUAAGGCAUGUGUUUCACCAGGCUAAGGAUGGUAAUUUAUUGUAUGUUAUCAU
This 42459-nucleotide long non-coding RNA is filed under the name Vitis vinifera (wine grape). RNAcentral describes it as "long non-coding RNA (VVIN_LNC000131)". The record is from RNAcentral. Lineage: Eukaryota; Viridiplantae; Streptophyta; Magnoliopsida; Vitales; Vitaceae.